RNAcentral lists this ribosomal RNA (730 nucleotides) under Stomphia didemon. RNAcentral describes it as "partial 12S ribosomal RNA". It matches the Rfam family "Bacterial small subunit ribosomal RNA", at positions 364 to 1401 of the family's 1533-position model. The record is from RNAcentral. Lineage: Eukaryota; Metazoa; Cnidaria; Anthozoa; Actiniaria; Actinostolidae.
UUGUGCAAUGAACGAAAGUAUGACACAGAGAGGACACAUUUAUUUGAGCCCGUCAAAUUAAGUGCCAGCCGACGCGGUAAGACUUAAGGGCUGGUCUUUAUAAGUAAAAAGGCGUUAAGGAUGUGUAGGCUAACAAUUAUCCAAGAAWGUAAAUGGAAUUUUUCUGGAGCGGUAGAAUGUGAUGAUAGAAAAUAGAACUCCUAAGGUUAAAACUAUUUACCNCAAGAUAGGCUGAAACAUGAAAGUGUGGGGAGCCAACAGGAUUAGAGACCCUGGUAGCCCACACUGUGAACUUUGAAGAUGAUGCUUAGCAGACCCGAAAGGUAAAAUCUUCCGCCUGAGUAGAACGAUCGCAAGAUUAAAAUUCAAAAAUUUUGGCUGUUCACUAUUUCGAUUAGAGGAGCGUGUAGUUUAAUUCGAUGGUCCGCGUGUUACCUCACCCCAGCUUGAAUCCGUGACUGGUAUUGCAUGGCCNUCGUAAGUCCGUGUGUUAAGCUAGAAGGGACCCAACCCGGGCACCUGCCCGGAGGAAGUCAGGUCUUAUGAUCCGAAUGCUGGGGGGUUUUAUGCNCUACAUUUUCUUAUAUAAUGGGAGACACUGAAAGGUGAAUCUCUAAAGUAAGAGUUCGGAAGGUCGCUGUAAGACGACUGGAAGUUGUAUUUAAAAGUAAUCGGAAAGUAGAGCGUUCCGGUGAAUUGGUGCAAGUGUUAGCACAAAUUGCCCGUCACC